CGAGGCGGUACUCCUUGAACCCGCGGUUGGAGACGGCCUCGCCGGCGCCCUUGUUGGUGACGAGGAAGGCGAAGAGGGUGAAGGCGAAGAGGAGGAGGAUGAGGAGGAACAUGGCGACAAGGUAGAGCCAGAGGAGGAGGGAGGCCCUGCAGCAGGCGCCGACGAGGCCGGCGAGGGAGACGAGCAUGAGGAAGGCGCCGAGGACGAUGAGCGGCACCGUGAGGAAGCGCUCGCACUCGGUGCCGGACCCGCCGCCGCGGGUGGCGAGCCACACGCCGCCGCCGAGCACGGGCACGGAGAGGAGGAAGGUGAGGAGGUUGAGCACCCCGAUGAGGUUGUUGCUGAGCCUAAACAUCGCGAUCCACCCCAACCAAUGCCCACGCGUAGCACUCCGAGGAUGAUGAGGUCGUGGUAAUGGAGAUAGAUAGAGAGAGAGAGAGAGAGAGAGAGAGAGAGGA
Molecule: long non-coding RNA, 458 nt
Filed under: Ananas comosus (pineapple)
Lineage: Eukaryota; Viridiplantae; Streptophyta; Magnoliopsida; Poales; Bromeliaceae
Description: long non-coding RNA (ACOM_LNC002858)
Source: RNAcentral